Molecule: ribosomal RNA, 1264 nt
Filed under: Enterococcus faecium
Lineage: Bacteria; Bacillati; Bacillota; Bacilli; Lactobacillales; Enterococcaceae
Description: bacterial SSU rRNA
Rfam family: Bacterial small subunit ribosomal RNA
Source: RNAcentral
UGGCGAACGGGUGAGUAACACGUGGGUAACCUGCCCAUCAGAAGGGGAUAACACUUGGAAACAGGUGCUAAUACCGUAUAACAAUCAAAACCGCAUGGUUUUGAUUUGAAAGGCGCUUUCGGGUGUCGCUGAUGGAUGGACCCGCGGUGCAUUAGCUAGUUGGUGAGGUAACGGCUCACCAAGGCCACGAUGCAUAGCCGACCUGAGAGGGUGAUCGGCCACAUUGGGACUGAGACACGGCCCAAACUCCUACGGGAGGCAGCAGUAGGGAAUCUUCGGCAAUGGACGAAAGUCUGACCGAGCAACGCCGCGUGAGUGAAGAAGGUUUUCGGAUCGUAAAACUCUGUUGUUAGAGAAGAACAAGGAUGAGAGUAACUGUUCAUCCCUUGACGGUAUCUAACCAGAAAGCCACGGCUAACUACGUGCCAGCAGCCGCGGUAAUACGUAGGUGGCAAGCGUUGUCCGGAUUUAUUGGGCGUAAAGCGAGCGCAGGCGGUUUCUUAAGUCUGAUGUGAAAGCCCCCGGCUCAACCGGGGAGGGUCAUUGGAAACUGGGAGACUUGAGUGCAGAAGAGGAGAGUGGAAUUCCAUGUGUAGCGGUGAAAUGCGUAGAUAUAUGGAGGAACACCAGUGGCGAAGGCGGCUCUCUGGUCUGUAACUGACGCUGAGGCUCGAAAGCGUGGGGAGCAAACAGGAUUAGAUACCCUGGUAGUCCACGCCGUAAACGAUGAGUGCUAAGUGUUGGAGGGUUUCCGCCCUUCAGUGCUGCAGCUAACGCAUUAAGCACUCCGCCUGGGGAGUACGACCGCAAGGUUGAAACUCAAAGGAAUUGACGGGGGCCCGCACAAGCGGUGGAGCAUGUGGUUUAAUUCGAAGCAACGCGAAGAACCUUACCAGGUCUUGACAUCCUUUGACCACUCUAGAGAUAGAGCUUCCCCUUCGGGGGCAAAGUGACAGGUGGUGCAUGGUUGUCGUCAGCUCGUGUCGUGAGAUGUUGGGUUAAGUCCCGCAACGAGCGCAACCCUUAUUGUUAGUUGCCAUCAUUCAGUUGGGCACUCUAGCAAGACUGCCGGUGACAAACCGGAGGAAGGUGGGGAUGACGUCAAAUCAUCAUGCCCCUUAUGACCUGGGCUACACACGUGCUACAAUGGGAAGUACAACGAGUUGCGAAGUCGCGAGGCUAAGCUAAUCUCUUAAAGCUUCUCUCAGUUCGGAUUGCAGGCUGCAACUCGCCUGCAUGAAGCCGGAAUCGCUAGUAAUCGCGG